UGAGAGAGGGCAAAUCGGUGUUGCGGCGGAGGGAAGGGCCUAGGGUUCCUUUGUUUUUUUAUUUUUGUUUUUAAGGCUGCUGAGAAUGUUUAGGAGGCUACCGAUUUAGGGUAUUUUGUUUAGCCUUCAUAACGCAAAAAUGGCGUCGUUUAAGGUCUUCUACCAUGGCAUUAAAACGGCACCGUGUAGGCCUGCAACCCAAGUGUGUAACUCGACCCGGGGAGGAUCCGCG
RNAcentral lists this long non-coding RNA (232 nucleotides) under Gossypium raimondii (Peruvian cotton). Its description in RNAcentral is "long non-coding RNA (GRAI_LNC004529)". The record is from RNAcentral. Lineage: Eukaryota; Viridiplantae; Streptophyta; Magnoliopsida; Malvales; Malvaceae.